AGAGUUUGAUCCUGGCUCAGGACGAACGCUGGCGGCGUGCUUAACACAUGCAAGUCGAGCGAGGCCUCUCCUUCGGGGGGGUGCCCUAGCGGCGAACGGGUGAGUAACCGUGGGCAACCUGCCCUCAGCUUCGGGAUAACUCCAAGAAAUUGGUGCUAAUACCGGAUGUGACCCUGACCGCAUGGUCUGGUGGUGGAAAGAUUCAUCGGCUGGGGAUGGGCCCGCGGCCUAUCAGCUUGUUGGUGGGGUCACGGCCCACCAAGGCGACGACGGGUAGCCAGCCUGAGAGGGUGACCGGCCACACUGGGACUGAGACACGGCCCAGACUCCUACGGGAGGCAGCAGUGGGGAAUAUUGCGCAAUGGGCGAAAGCCUGACGCAGCGACGCCGCGUGAGGGAUGACGGCCUUCGGGUUGUAAACCUCUUUCAGUAGGGACGAAGCGGAAGUGACGGCACCUACAGAAGAAGCACCGGCCAACUACGUGCCAGCAGCCGCGGUAAUACGUAGGGUGCAAGCGUUGUCCGGAAUUAUUGGGCGUAAAGAGCUCGUAGGCGGUCUGUCGCGUCGGCUGUGAAAACCCGAGGCUCAACCUCGGGCCUGCAGUCGAUACGGGCAAACUGGAGUACUGCAGGGGAGACUGGAAUUCCUGGUGUAGCGGUGAAAUGCGCAGAUAUCAGGAGGAACACCGGUGGCGAAGGCGGGUCUCUGGGCAGUAACUGACGCUGAGGAGCGAAAGCGUGGGGAGCGAACAGGAUUAGAUACCCUAGUAGUCC
RNAcentral lists this ribosomal RNA (774 nucleotides) under uncultured bacterium. RNAcentral describes it as "bacterial SSU rRNA". It matches the Rfam family "Bacterial small subunit ribosomal RNA", at positions 8 to 796 of the family's 1533-position model. The record is from RNAcentral.